GUGAAUCAUCAAAUUUUUGAACGCAAAUUGCACUCUCCUCGGAGAGUAUGCCUGUUUGAGGGUCAGCCUAUAAAAAUCGACACUGUUGCUGUUUCGCGGUGGCGUUCGUCGGAGAGUGGGUCAUCUUAAAUGUUUUGGUUUUAAGCGACUUAAAAUUUUUUUAUUGGUUCCUGGAAGUUAUUUAGGUUUAUUUAAUUUCAAUGUU
This 205-nucleotide unclassified non-coding RNA is filed under the name Glomus sp. Its description in RNAcentral is "partial contains 5.8S ribosomal RNA and internal transcribed spacer 2". The stretch from base 1 to 65 matches the Rfam family "5.8S ribosomal RNA", at positions 84 to 154 of the family's 154-position model. Lineage: Eukaryota; Fungi; Glomeromycota; Glomeromycetes; Glomerales; Glomeraceae. The record is from RNAcentral.